GGCUUGUGGGGGUAUGGGGGACCCCUGCGGGGGCAGGGAAAACAUCCUUUUCAMGCCUGUUCAUGGGAUGAUCGAAUCUCGCAUUUCGUCAUCUCCCUUUCGGUUCCCUGUGUUGCAUACCUUCGCGACGGUAUCCUGKYGGCUAGAAUCRCCCCGUUUCACCCCACGUUGCGAGUAACAUCGCGACCGAAGGGGAACCGAAAAGCAUUCAUCGCGUUCCACCCCGUUCGCAUUACACGCUGCGGGGACCGGCCCACGAUGACGUGCUCGAAUUCUCGGAUGCGGAACACAAAGUGGGCACGAGGACGUCGAUCCUCCGUUUGCCCCCGAACAAGCGUUCUACGCUCUGUGCGAACGACGUUCUUUCUCGUGCUGGGCUUCCGUCCACACGAGGUCGACGUCGCAGAGGAAUGCUACCUGGUGAUCCAGCCAGUAAUCAUUU
This 442-nucleotide unclassified non-coding RNA is filed under the name Fraxinus anomala. Its description in RNAcentral is "partial external transcribed spacer". The record is from RNAcentral. Lineage: Eukaryota; Viridiplantae; Streptophyta; Magnoliopsida; Lamiales; Oleaceae.